Molecule: ribosomal RNA, 493 nt
Filed under: uncultured bacterium
Lineage: Bacteria
Description: bacterial SSU rRNA
Rfam family: Bacterial small subunit ribosomal RNA
Source: RNAcentral
CGAACGCUGGCGGCGGGCUUAAUACAUGCAAGUCGAACGAGAAAGCCUGGCUUCGGCCGGGCAAGUAAAGUGGCGAACGGGUGAGUAACACGUGGGCAAUCUGCCCUUAAGUUUGGGAUAAGCCUUCGAAAGGGGGUCUAAUACCGGAUAAUAUCCGAGAAUGGCAUCGUUUUCGGAUCAAAGGUGGAGCAAUCUGCCGCUUGAGGAUGAGCCCGCGUCCCAUUAGCUUGUUGGUGAGGUAACGGCCCACCAAGGCUGUGAUGGGUAGCCGGCCUGAGAGGGUGAUCGGCCACACUGGGACUGAGAUACGGCCCAGACUCCUACGGGAGGCAGCAGUAGGGAAUAUUGCGCAAUGGACGAAAGUCUGACGCAGCCACGCCGCGUGGAUGACGAAGCUUUUUGGAGUGUAAAAUCCUGUCAGUGGGGAAGAACCGGUAGGGGAGUAACUGCCCCUGCCCUGACGGUACCCACAGAGGAAGUUCCGGCUAACUCC